This 341-nucleotide ribosomal RNA is filed under the name uncultured Faecalibacterium sp. RNAcentral describes it as "bacterial SSU rRNA". It matches the Rfam family "Bacterial small subunit ribosomal RNA", at positions 21 to 357 of the family's 1533-position model. Lineage: Bacteria; Bacillati; Bacillota; Clostridia; Eubacteriales; Oscillospiraceae. The record is from RNAcentral.
GGCUCAGGACGAACGCUGGCGGCGCGCCUAACACAUGCAAGUCGAACGAGAGAGAAGGAGCUUGCUUCUUCGAUCGAGUGGCGAACGGGUGAGUAACGCGUGAGGAACCUGCCUCAAAGAGGGGGACAACAGUUGGAAACGACUGCUAAUACCGCAUAAGCCCACGGGUCGGCAUCGACCAGAGGGAAAAGGAGCAAUCCGCUUUGAGAUGGCCUCGCGUCCGAUUAGCUAGUUGGUGAGGUAACGGCCCACCAAGGCGACGAUCGGUAGCCGGACUGAGAGGUUGAACGGCCACAUUGGGACUGAGACACGGCCCAGACUCCUACGGGAGGCAGCAGUGG